GUUCAACGGCCGCGGUAUCCUAACCGUGCGAAGGUAGCGUAAUCACUUGUUCUUUAAAUGUGGACUAGUAUGAAUGGCACUACGAGGGUUAUACUGUCUCCUUUUUCUAAUCAGUGAAACUAAUUUUCCCGUGAAGAAGCGGGAAUGUAACUAUAAGACGAGAAGACCCUAUGGAGCUUUAAACAACCCAGCAAUUACUUCUAAAAUUUUAAAUUUCAGAAUAUUCAUUCUUUAAGUAGUAUGUUUGCAAGUUUUUGGUUGGGGUGACCAUGGAGAAUAACAUAACCUCCACAUUGAAUGAAUUCCCUUCUAAGCUGAAAAUCACCAAUUGAAGCAUCAACACACUGACAUCUAUUGACCCAAUAUAUUUGAUCAACGAACCAAGUUACCCUAGGGAUAACAGCGCAAUCCACUUCAAGAGCCCCUAUCGACAAGUGGGUUUACGACCUCGAUGUUGGAUCAGGGUAUCCCAGUGGCGCAGCUGCUACUAAAGGUUCGUUUGUUCAACGAUUAAAACCC
RNAcentral lists this ribosomal RNA (519 nucleotides) under Rhinella hoogmoedi. RNAcentral describes it as "partial 16S ribosomal RNA". It matches the Rfam family "Bacterial large subunit ribosomal RNA", at positions 1922 to 2596 of the family's 2925-position model. Lineage: Eukaryota; Metazoa; Chordata; Amphibia; Anura; Bufonidae. The record is from RNAcentral.